UACGUGAUUGAUUCUGUCAGCGCUAUAUUCUCAGUUGAAAACCUGUGCCACAUGUCGAGCUCAACUUUAGAAUGAAACUGCUAACGGCUCAUCAUAACUGAUGUAAUUUUUUUAGAAUUGUUCGGAUGGAUUACUGCGGUAAUUCUGGAGCUAAUACAUGCGACAAAACUUUUGUUUUGCUCUACAAAUUCGCUGAAUCGGAAUAACGCAGCUUAUUCCAAGAAGUGACUACCCUGUUAAACUGAAGACUUCGGUCCUAUUAAUCAUUUCAAAAAUUGGAAUAAUGGUUGAGAGGGGCAAUUCGGGGCAUUCGUAUCCUUGCGCUAGUGAUGAAAUUCGUGAACAUAAACUAUGCCAUCUAGCAAUUCGAUGGGGUACUAAUACCAGGGCGUUGUCAAGCAGUUUCCAAGACACAAAGGCCUUUCGGUUUUUGUGAUAGUAUGAUUGCAAAGCUGAAACUUAGGGAAAUUGAAGGAAUGGUAAUACCAGGAGUGGAGUCUGCAGCUACUCAUCACGGAUAAACUCAUCUGGCCCACACUCAGAAAGGAUUGACAGAUUAAAGUUGCGCACCUAAACCAGCAUUCAGACAAUAAAAUUGGGCAACUCAACAGACUUCACGUUUUAAUACUAUGUAGCAAUUCUUGCUACUUCCCAUCCAUUCACCAAUAAUAAACCACCCCUCAAUAUAAUGAUAAUGAUGAUCCUACAUAUCAUACACAAACAUUCAUAACAUUGUGAUAGGAUGAAGGUAAAAAAAGGCUUUAGCCCUUCAUCUCUCAAUUUA
This 784-nucleotide non-coding RNA is filed under the name Dictyocaulus viviparus (bovine lungworm). RNAcentral's name for it is "Eukaryotic small subunit ribosomal RNA". It matches the Rfam family "Eukaryotic small subunit ribosomal RNA", at positions 1 to 1269 of the family's 1831-position model. The record is from Rfam by way of RNAcentral. Lineage: Eukaryota; Metazoa; Nematoda; Chromadorea; Rhabditida; Metastrongylidae.